AUAAAAGUUUUGAUGAGGAUACGAACAAUAUAUUCCGACUUUACAGAGAGGGAAGUCAUCGGCUGUGAGCUUCCUAUGUACGGCAUAUUGUUUACCACCUCUGAACUCUGGUCAUGAAAUGUAGUAUUGAUCAGCGGAUUAUCCACGUUACGGAUGUACUAAUGAAGCCACAUUUGAUGUGGAAAUUAGGGUGGAACCACGGGUAUAACGCUCGUCCCUUCG
This 222-nucleotide non-coding RNA is filed under the name Pontibacillus yanchengensis. Its description in RNAcentral is "T-box sequence". It matches the Rfam family "T-box leader". Rfam says of the family: Uncharged tRNA acts as the effector for transcription antitermination of genes in the T-box leader family. T-boxes are found upstream of many aminoacyl-tRNA synthetase genes and some amino acid biosynthetic genes usually in Gram-positive bacteria. The record is from RNAcentral. Lineage: Bacteria; Bacillati; Bacillota; Bacilli; Caryophanales; Bacillaceae.